UGCGAAUGCUGACAUAAGUAACGAUAAAGCGGGUGAAAAGCCCGCUCGCCGGAAGACCAAGGGUUCCUGUCCAACGUUAAUCGGGGCAGGGUGAGUCGACCCCUAAGGCGAGGCCGAAAGGCGUAGUCGAUGGGAAACAGGUUAAUAUUCCUGUACUUGGUGUUACUGCGAAGGGGGGACGGAGAAGGCUAUGUUGGCCGGGCGACGGUUGUCCCGGUUUAAGCGUGUAGGCUGGUUUUCCAGGCAAAUCCGGAAAAUCAAGGCUGAGGCGUGAUGACGAGGCACUACGGUGCUGAAGCAACAAAUGCCCUGCUUCCAGGAAAAGCCUCUAAGCAUCAGGUAACAUCAAAUCGUACCCCAAACCGACACAGGUGGUCAGGUAGAGAAUACCAAGGCGCUUGAGAGAACUCGGGUGAAGGAACUAGGCAAAAUGGUGCCGUAACUUCGGGAGAAGGCACGCUGAUAUGUAGGUGAAGCGACUUGCUCGUGGAGCUGAAAUCAGUCGAAGAUACCAGCUGGCUGCAACUGUUUAUUAAAAACACAGCACUGUGCAAACACGAAAGUGGACGUAUACGGUGUGACGCCUGCCCGGUGCCGGAAGGUUAAUUGAUGGGGUUAGCGCAAGCGAAGCUCUUGAUCGAAGCCCCGGUAAACGGCGGCCGUAACUAUAACGGUCCUAAGGUAGCGAAAUUCCUUGUCGGGUAAGUUCCGACCUGCACGAAUGGCGUAAUGAUGGCCAGGCUGUCUCCACCCGAGACUCAGUGAAAUUGAACUCGCUGUGAAGAUGCAGUGUACCCGCGGCAAGACGGAAAGACCCCGUGAACCUUUACUAUAGCUUGACACUGAACAUUGAGCCUUGAUGUGUAGGAUAGGUGGGAGGCUUUGAAGUGUGGACGCCAGUCUGCAUGGAGCCGACCUUGAAAUACCACCCUUUAAUGUUUGAUGUUCUAACGUUGACCCGUAAUCCGGGUUGCGGACAGUGUCUGGUGGGUAGUUUGACUGGGGCGGUCUCCUCCUAAAGAGUAACGGAGGAGCACGAAGGUUGGCUAAUCCUGGUCGGACAUCAGGAGGUUAGUGCAAUGGCAUAAGCCAGCUUGACUGCGAGCGUGACGGCGCGAGCAGGUGCGAAAGCAGGUCAUAGUGAUCCGGUGGUUCUGAAUGGAAGGGCCAUCGCUCAACGGAUAAAAGGUACUCCGGGGAUAACAGGCUGAUACCGCCCAAGAGUUCAUAUCGACGGCGGUGUUUGGCACCUCGAUGUCGGCUCAUCACAUCCUGGGGCUGAAGUAGGUCCCAAGGGUAUGGCUGUUCGCCAUUUAAAGUGGUACGCGAGCUGGGUUUAGAACGUCGUGAGACAGUUCGGUCCCUAUCUGCCGUGGGCGCUGGAGAACUGAGGGGGGCUGCUCCUAGUACGAGAGGACCGGAGUGGACGCAUCACUGGUGUUCGGGUUGUCAUGCCAAUGGCACUGCCCGGUAGCUAAAUGCGGAAGAGAUAAGUGCUGAAAGCAUCUAAGCACGAAACUUGCCCCGAGAUGAGUUCUCCCUGACUCCUUGAGAGUCCUGAAGGAACGUUGAAGACGACGACGUUGAUAGGCCGGGUGUGUAAGCGCAGCGAUGCGUUGAGCUAACCGGUACUAAUGAACCGUGAG
RNAcentral lists this ribosomal RNA (1646 nucleotides) under Escherichia coli. RNAcentral describes it as "partial 23S ribosomal RNA". It matches the Rfam family "Bacterial large subunit ribosomal RNA", at positions 1289 to 2915 of the family's 2925-position model. Lineage: Bacteria; Pseudomonadati; Pseudomonadota; Gammaproteobacteria; Enterobacterales; Enterobacteriaceae. The record is from RNAcentral.